GGGUUGUGAGGUUAAGCGACUAAGCGUACACGGUGGAUGCCCUGGCAGUCAGAGGCGAUGAAGGACGUGCUAAUCUGCGAUAAGCGUCGGUGAGGUGAUAUGAACCGUUAUAACCGGCGAUUUCCGAAUGGGGAAACCCAGUGUGUUUCGACACACUAUCAUUAACUGAAUCCAUAGGUUAAUGAGGCGAACCGGGGGAACUGAAACAUCUAAGUACCCCGAGGAAAAGAAAUCAACCGAGAUUCCCCCAGUAGCGGCGAGCGAACGGGGAGGAGCCCAGAGCCUGAAUCAGUGUGUGUGUUAGUGGAAGCGUCUGGAAAGGCGCGCGAUACAGGGUGACAGCCCCGUACACAAAAAUGCACAUAUUGUGAGCUCGAUGAGUAGGGCGGGACACGUGGUAUCCUGUCUGAAUAUGGGGGGACCAUCCUCCAAGGCUAAAUACUCCUGACUGACCGAUAGUGAACCAGUACCGUGAGGGAAAGGCGAAAAGAACCCCGGCGAGGGGAGUGAAAAAGAACCUGAAACCGUGUACGUACAAGCAGUGGGAGCCUCUUAAUGGGGUGACUGCGUACCUUUUGUAUAAUGGGUCAGCGACUUAUAUUCUGUAGCAAGGUUAACCGAAUAGGGGAGCCGAAGGGAAACCGAGUCUUAACUGGGCGUUAAGUUGCAGGGUAUAGACCCGAAACCCGGUGAUCUAGCCAUGGGCAGGUUGAAGGUUGGGUAACACUAACUGGAGGACCGAACCGACUAAUGUUGAAAAAUUAGCGGAUGACUUGUGGCUGGGGGUGAAAGGCCAAUCAAACCGGGAGAUAGCUGGUUCUCCCCGAAAGCUAUUUAGGUAGCGCCUCGUGAAUUCAUCUCCGGGGGUAGAGCACUGUUUCGGCAAGGGGUCAUCCCGACUUACCAACCCGAUGCAAACUGCGAAUACCGGAGAAUGUUAUCACGGGAGACACACGGCGGGUGCUAACGUCCGUCGUGAAGAGGGAAACAACCCAGACCGCCAGCUAAGGUCCCAAAGUCAUGGUUAAGUGGGAAACGAUGUGGGAAGGCCCAGACAGCCAGGAUGUUGGCUUAGAAGCAGCCAUCAUUUAAAGAAAGCGUAAUAGCUCACUGGUCGAGUCGGCCUGCGCGGAAGAUGUAACGGGGCUAAACCAUGCACCGAAGCUGCGGCAGCGACACUAUGUGUUGUUGGGUAGGGGAGCGUUCUGUAAGCCUGUGAAGGUGUACUGUGAGGUAUGCUGGAGGUAUCAGAAGUGCGAAUGCUGACAUAAGUAACGAUAAAGCGGGUGAAAAGCCCGCUCGCCGGAAGACCAAGGGUUCCUGUCCAACGUUAAUCGGGGCAGGGUGAGUCGACCCCUAAGGCGAGGCCGAAAGGCGUAGUCGAUGGGAAACAGGUUAAUAUUCCUGUACUUGGUGUUACUGCGAAGGGGGGACGGAGAAGGCUAUGUUGGCCGGGCGACGGUUGUCCCGGUUUAAGCGUGUAGGCUGGUUUUCCAGGCAAAUCCGGAAAAUCAAGGCUGAGGCGUGAUGACGAGGCACUACGGUGCUGAAGCGACAAAUGCCCUGCUUCCAGGAAAAGCCUCUAAGCAUCAGGUAACAUCAAAUCGUACCCCAAACCGACACAGGUGGUCAGGUAGAGAAUACCAAGGCGCUUGAGAGAACUCGGGUGAAGGAACUAGGCAAAAUGGUGCCGUAACUUCGGGAGAAGGCACGCUGAUAUGUAGGUGAAGCGACUUGCUCGUGGAGCUGAAAUCAGUCGAAGAUACCAGCUGGCUGCAACUGUUUAUUAAAAACACAGCACUGUGCAAACACGAAAGUGGACGUAUACGGUGUGACGCCUGCCCGGUGCCGGAAGGUUAAUUGAUGGGGUUAGCGGUAACGCGAAGCUCUUGAUCGAAGCCCCGGUAAACGGCGGCCGUAACUAUAACGGUCCUAAGGUAGCGAAAUUCCUUGUCGGGUAAGUUCCGACCUGCACGAAUGGCGUAAUGAUGGCCAGGCUGUCUCCACCCGAGACUCAGUGAAAUUGAACUCGCUGUGAAGAUGCAGUGUACCCGCGGCAAGACGGAAAGACCCCGUGAACCUUUACUAUAGCUUGACACUGAACAUUGAGCCUUGAUGUGUAGGAUAGGUGGGAGGCUUUGAAGUGUGGACGCCAGUCUGCAUGGAGCCGACCUUGAAAUACCACCCUUUAAUGUUUGAUGUUCUAACGUGGGCCCCUUACCGGGGUUGCGGACAGUGUCUGGUGGGUAGUUUGACUGGGGCGGUCUCCUCCUAAAGAGUAACGGAGGAGCACGAAGGUUGGCUAAUCCUGGUCGGACAUCAGGAGGUUAGUGCAAUGGCAUAAGCCAGCUUGACUGCGAGCGUGACGGCGCGAGCAGGUGCGAAAGCAGGUCAUAGUGAUCCGGUGGUUCUGAAUGGAAGGGCCAUCGCUCAACGGAUAAAAGGUACUCCGGGGAUAACAGGCUGAUACCGCCCAAGAGUUCAUAUCGACGGCGGUGUUUGGCACCUCGAUGUCGGCUCAUCACAUCCUGGGGCUGAAGUAGGUCCCAAGGGUAUGGCUGUUCGCCAUUUAAAGUGGUACGCGAGCUGGGUUUAGAACGUCGUGAGACAGUUCGGUCCCUAUCUGCCGUGGGCGCUGGAGAACUGAGGGGGGCUGCUCCUAGUACGAGAGGACCGGAGUGGACGCAUCACUGGUGUUCGGGUUGUCAUGCCAAUGGCACUGCCCGGUAGCUAAAUGCGGAAGAGAUAAGUGCUGAAAGCAUCUAAGCACGAAACUUGCCCCGAGAUGAGUUCUCCCUGACUCCUUGAGAGUCCUGAAGGAACGUUGAAGACGACGACGUUGAUAGGCCGGGUGUGUAAGCGCAGCGAUGCGUUGAGCUAACCGGUACUAAUGAACCGUGAGGCUUAACCUUACAACGCCGAAG
Molecule: ribosomal RNA, 2924 nt
Filed under: Escherichia coli
Lineage: Bacteria; Pseudomonadati; Pseudomonadota; Gammaproteobacteria; Enterobacterales; Enterobacteriaceae
Description: bacterial LSU rRNA
Rfam family: Bacterial large subunit ribosomal RNA
Source: RNAcentral